GACGAACCGUGCAAACGUUGUUCGGAAUCACUGGGCUUAAAGAGCGCGCAGGCGGUCGUUCAAGUCGCGUGUGAAAGCCCCCGGCUCAACUGGGGAGGGUCACGCGAUACUGAUCGACUCGAAGGCAGGAGAGGGAAGUGGAAUUCCCGGUGUAGUGGUGAAAUGCGUAGAUAUCGGGAGGAACACCAGUGGCGAAGGCGACUUCCUGGCCUGUUCUUGACGCUGAGGCGCGAAAGCUGGGGUAGCAAACGGG
This 253-nucleotide ribosomal RNA is filed under the name uncultured bacterium. RNAcentral describes it as "partial 16S ribosomal RNA". It matches the Rfam family "Bacterial small subunit ribosomal RNA", at positions 524 to 776 of the family's 1533-position model. The record is from RNAcentral.